GAUGAACGCUGGCGGCGUGCCUAAUACAUGCAAGUCGAGCGAACAGAUGAGAAGCUUGCUCCUCUGACGUUAGCGGCGGACGGGUGAGUAACACGUGGAUAACCUACCUAUAAGACUGGGAUAACUUCGGGAAACCGGAGCUAAUACCGGAUAAUAUAUUGAACCGCAUGGUUCAAUAGUGAAAGACGGUUUUGCUGUCACUUCUAGAUGGAUCCGCGCCGCAUUAGCUAGUUGGUAAGGUAACGGCUUACCAAGGCGACGAUGCGUAGCCGACCUGAGAGGGUGAUCGGCCACACUGGAACUGAGACACGGUCCAGACUCCUAAGGGAGGCAGCAGUAGGGAAUCGUCCGCAAUGGGCGAAAGCCUGACGGAGCAACGCCGCGUGAGUGAUGAAGGUCUUCGGAUCGUAAAACUCUGUUAUUAGGGAAGAACAAAUGUGUAAGUAACUAUGCACGUCUUGACGGUACCUAAUCAGAAAGCCACGGCUAACUACGUG
RNAcentral lists this ribosomal RNA (497 nucleotides) under uncultured bacterium. RNAcentral's name for it is "partial 16S ribosomal RNA". It matches the Rfam family "Bacterial small subunit ribosomal RNA", at positions 28 to 507 of the family's 1533-position model. The record is from RNAcentral.